RNAcentral lists this ribosomal RNA (273 nucleotides) under uncultured bacterium. RNAcentral's name for it is "partial 16S ribosomal RNA". It matches the Rfam family "Bacterial small subunit ribosomal RNA", at positions 524 to 796 of the family's 1533-position model. The record is from RNAcentral.
UACGGAGGGUGCAAGCGUUGUCCGGAUUUAUUGGGUUUAAAGGGUGUGUAGGCGGUGUAUUAAGUCAGUGGUGAAAGCCUGCGGCUCAACCGUAGAACUGCCAUUGAUACUGACACACUUGAGUUUGGUUGAGGUAGACGGAAUUUAUGGUGUAGCGGUGAAAUGCAUAGAUACCAUAAAGAACACCGAUAGCGAAGGCAGCUUACUAGGCCAUAACUGACGCUGAGGCACGAAAGCGUGGGGAGCGAACAGGAUUAGAAACCCCAGUAGUCC